AUCUCUGACAUUUGGCAAGGGGAGAAGGUCCGACCUGUGUAGGGCAUUAUGAAAUGAACAUAUGGAAUCCACUGACUUCAGGAAAUAUUUUCAGAAUGCACACAUAUUUCUUCAAGACGUUAACAUCCCAGGGGAGGAGGAGGAAUAAAAACAUGACAAGGAGUAAUUUAAAAUGGCAGAUUCCUUUCACUUCUCUUCUGCCAUGGAUGUGAUAAUAGUAGCAGGAGGCUUUACAUGAUGAAUCUCAGAAGGAGUCAAGACUAAUUGUAAUGGAAAUGAGGCAACCUGAGGCUGACUUCUGAUGACAAGGCAACCAUCUAUAAGUGCUGCUGACCUGUUCCACUUGUAUACUUAGACUUGUGUGUUUUCUUAUUUUGGACAUGUGUCUUAAAAAUUCCUAGAACACUUUUUUAUUCCCAAGAACGCCUACUGAAAAUGUAACAUUCCUUAUAAAUGAAUGAUUUGAUAAAAUGAACUAUUUGCCUUCCCUUAAACAACCCCUUAAUAUAUUUGCAUAUUUUCUUGACCAUAUAUGUUUUAUCAUGUUUGUUUCUGAAACUGGGAUACAAUGCCGAAAUCGAUGUCAAAAGAAACUUGCUUCCUGAAGGCAGAGGACUGAGUUGUUUUGUAGCUGUCAGUGCCUGCACAUGUGUGAAUUUAGCCUUGUAGGUAUUUUUAUAAUUGUCAGUUCAUUUGACUUAUUCACAUCAUGAUCACACAAGCCAUUGCCUUAUAAAUGAAAUAUAUAUCCUUCAUUGUUGCUUAACAUGACUUCAUAAAGUCAGUGCUUUGAAGCAACAUUGAUGUGAAGAGUUUUUGUCUAUGUGGGAAGGUUACUUGUCAUGGGCAAUAAUUUUUGCUCACUAUAUGUGGCCAGAAUGUAGAACCAUGUCUCGUAUUAACUGUGGAGUUGUAUCUUUGUGUCUUGAGGCAGAGUUAGGUUUCAUGUCGUAGCAUUAGGCAAAAGUUACAUGUUGAUAAUAUUACCUUUGAAAGUUUACUUAAACCAGUCCCUGUUAGAUCAGAUUGAUAUUACUAAGGUUGAGUAAUAGUUAACUAGUUGUAAGGUGAACUCAUUCUAAAUUCCUGCUUUAACCAUGCUUUGUGUGACUACAUUUAUUUUAUCACCUUAACUGUGCUUUGUACGACCAUACAUUUUAUCAUCUCACCUCAGAUAACCAACCAAUUCUUCAUUGUAAAUGGAUUUCUGUA
Molecule: long non-coding RNA, 1212 nt
Organism: Zalophus californianus (California sea lion)
Lineage: Eukaryota; Metazoa; Chordata; Mammalia; Carnivora; Otariidae
Exons: 3
Source: RefSeq, a predicted model, not a curated record